Molecule: non-coding RNA, 110 nt
Organism: Acanthosepion pharaonis
Lineage: Eukaryota; Metazoa; Mollusca; Cephalopoda; Sepiida; Sepiidae
Source: the annotation of a GenBank genome assembly
CAACUAUAUCAUGUUGAAACACCGGUUCUCAUAGAAUCACCGAAGUUAAGCAAUGUCGAGUUUGGUCAGUACCUAGAUGGGUGUUCGCUUGGGAAUACCAGGACCUGUAA